Molecule: transfer RNA, 70 nt
Filed under: Cricetulus griseus (Chinese hamster)
Lineage: Eukaryota; Metazoa; Chordata; Mammalia; Rodentia; Cricetidae
Rfam family: tRNA
About the family: Transfer RNA (tRNA) molecules are approximately 80 nucleotides in length. Their secondary structure includes four short double-helical elements and three loops (D, anti-codon, and T loops).
Source: Rfam by way of RNAcentral
GGAGAGAUGGCUCAGCAGUUAAGAGUGCUGGCCGCUCCUCCAGAGGACCUGGGUUCAAUCCCCAGCUCCC